This 484-nucleotide ribosomal RNA is filed under the name uncultured bacterium. RNAcentral describes it as "partial 16S ribosomal RNA". It matches the Rfam family "Bacterial small subunit ribosomal RNA", at positions 30 to 507 of the family's 1533-position model. The record is from RNAcentral.
AUUGAACGCUGGCGGCAGGCCUAACACAUGCAAGUCGAGCGGAUGAAGGGAGCUUGCUCCUGGAUUCAGCGGCGGACGGGUGAGUAAUGCCUAGGAAUCUGCCUGGUAGUGGGGGAUAACGUCCGGAAACGGGCGCUAAUACCGCAUACGUCCUGAGGGAGAAAGUGGGGGAUCUUCGGACCUCACGCUAUCAGAUGAGCCUAGGUCGGAUUAGCUAGUUGGUGGGGUAAAGGCCUACCAAGGCGACGAUCCGUAACUGGUCUGAGAGGAUGACCAGUCACACUGGAACUGAGACACGGUCCAGACUCCUACGGGAGGCAGCAGUGGGGAAUAUUGGACAAUGGGCGAAAGCCUGAUCCAGCCAUGCCGCGUGUGUGAAGAAGGUCUUCGGAUUGUAAAGCACUUUAAGUUGGGAGGAAGGGUAGUAAGUUAAUACCUUGCUGUUUUGACGUUACCAACAGAAUAAGCACCGGCUAACUUCGUG